UAUGCCUCUUAGUUGUCUCUGGAGUCUGUUUGUCCUGAUUCCUUUUCUUAGAUGAGACGAAGUCCAAUCAAGGCAUUAGCAUCCUGAUUACUGAUCCUAAGAAUUUUGCUUACGUCACCCUUGUUAUAUUCCUGUACCACUUAAAGACCUCUGUGAAGUCCCCUCUAAACCUACGCUUAUCUAAGGGAUGUAAAUUCAAGAGUUCCAGUCUCGUUUCGUAAGCAAUAACCCUUAUCCCCUGCAUCCUUUCAGUCAUUCUCCUUUGUACUUAUUUUAAUAGGCCUAUAUAAAUCAAAGAGGAGGCAGUAGACACCUGCCGAAACGAUAAUUACUCCCAUUGAGGUCUUAAGCACUGGAUCAGGGGGUGCUGUGAACUUAUCAUUAAACCCAGCUGUGACCUCACUGAACAUUUCCUUUUGUGUCUCACAAGGGGGUCGUCACAGCCUGCCCUCUAAAGACAACUCUCUUCCUUCACACAAAAUUACAAGCACCUAAUUACACACACACCUUUCACUCAAAAUUCAAAAUUACUAUGGCGACUCCUCUACCAGCCUCGGAGUACCCAUCUGAGGAGUGGACCACAAAUGUCCCCAGGUCGGACUUUUCUUCCGGUAUCAACCCUAAGUGUCUUGACACCCACCUUAACUUUGUCUUCAUUAAUUCUGCAACAUUCGCGGUCUAAGAUCUAAUUUUCAAUCUGUAGAACAUCACCUCUCCUCUUCUAAAUAUCAUCUUUUCCUCACUGAAACAUAGGUGUCUGAGGCAACUGACAGUAGCCCUUUUCUGUUCCCUCCUACUUUCUCUAUCCUCAUUUUAAAUCCAAAGCUGGAUGUUGCGUUUAUGUGCUCAACGACUUAACCUGCUUUCGUGCCCACGCUCUUGAAUCUUCUGAGUUUUCCACCAUCUGUCUACGAAUACAGAGUCACUCUCAAAUUAAAUUUAUAUGUGCUGUAUACCUCUCACCUAAUUCUUCUGACUAUAAGAAAUUCUUUGACUACUUAAAUUCCAAAGUGGAGCACAUUCUGACUCUCUUCCCCUUUGUGGAGAUCUCCAUUCUUGGAGACUUCAAUAUUCACCACCAUUGGUCUUUCCAAUGGGAGAGGGCUUUCCUCUCCCUUCAUUGACCGUCCUGGUAAACUAACCUUUAACUUUGCUAUCCUCCAUGAUCUAGAUCAGUGGUUCCCAAAGUGGGCGGUACGGCCCCCCUGGGGGUGGUGGAAAGAUCUGGGGGGGCGGUGAGGAAGAAGGGGGCGGUAGGGGGGCGGCAGUCCGAAGUCGAAGUCUGAAGUUCGAACGUUUGUUUGACGAUUUGUACACAACACGUGCAGCAGGACGAGUCAGUGGACGACGCAUCAGGGUCCGGUUACCGCACGCCGCUCUGGCCCAGUCAGAUCCGACAGCAUAUGACUACAAAAGCAAAAGCUCAGGAUUGAUACAGGAGAGUGAAAGAUUGUCUGCUGCCUUGAUGCAAGAAAGUUUAGGCCACCAACUCACUCCUGCCUUGACAGCUGAUACAUGCCCACCAGUCCCUUCAAGCCUGGGGAGCUGGGAGGGACCAGCAGGUGACCAGCGCAGGAGCGCAACGGGCUGGCAGGAGUUGAAACCAUGCUGAAGGAGAGAUGGAGUGAAUGAUGAAAUCUGGUGCUAGUCUCGGCAGAAAUGGGUCUUCUGUUGUCACGGAUGGAGUGGAGGAUAAACCCUGGUGCCAAUCAACUAUCCUCAGGUGAAGUAAUUGGGCCAUCAUAGUUGAAGAGGACCUAGCUCUGUCAACCCUGUGCCUUCAAGUGCAAGUGGAAUGACAGAAGUGAAGUGGGUGGCCUUUAUCAUCUCUCAGUUGGUGAAUGUUGCAGAACCUGAGCUACAUGUCAGCCCAGCACUGCGUGGGAGGUGGUCUAGUGGUGUUGCUGUCCUGAGCCUAGGAACACACCUCAACUCCAGCAUCCAGCUGUCCUGAGGCUGGGAACACACCUCAACUCCAGCAUCCAGCAGCAUUUUGCUGCCUUUUUUCUCCAUGGAAAAAUGUGUGCAAACUUCAGAAAUUGCUUGUCAUGUUGAAAGAAUAAAAGUUUCAAUGUAA
This is a long non-coding RNA of Scylla paramamosain (green mud crab), 2077 nucleotides long. RefSeq lists it as uncharacterized. The record is from RefSeq and is a predicted model, not a curated record. The transcript is spliced from 2 exons. Lineage: Eukaryota; Metazoa; Arthropoda; Malacostraca; Decapoda; Portunidae.